This 301-nucleotide ribosomal RNA is filed under the name uncultured bacterium. Its description in RNAcentral is "partial 16S ribosomal RNA". It matches the Rfam family "Bacterial small subunit ribosomal RNA", at positions 509 to 807 of the family's 1533-position model. The record is from RNAcentral.
CAGUCGCCGCGGGAAUACGUAGGGUGCGAGCGUUAAUCGGAAUUACUGGGCGUAAAGCGUGCGCAGGCGGUUAUAUAAGACAGAUGUGAAAUCCCCGGGCUCAACCUGGGACCUGCAUUUGUGACUGUAUAGCUAGAGUACGGUAGAGGGGGAUGGAAUUCCGCGUGUAGCAGUGAAAUGCGUAGAUAUGCGGAGGAACACCGAUGGCGAAGGCAAUCCCCUGGACCUGUACUGACGCUCAUGCACGAAAGCGUGGGGAGCAAACAGGAUUAGAUACCCCCGUAGUCCCUGUCUCUUAUAC